GAUGAACGCUGGCGGCAUGCCUAAUACAUGCAAGUCGAGCGACGAGUGGACAGGUGAGUAACACGUGGAUAACCUCCUAUAUGACUGGGGUAACUUCCUGAAACCGGAGCUUAACCGGAUACUUAUCGAUGAAUCGGUUUUGCAUUAGCUAGUGGGUAAGGUAACGGCUUACCAAGGCAACGAUCCAUAGCUGACCUGAGAGGAUGACCGGCCACACUGGAACUGAGACACGGUCCAGACUCCUACGGGAGGCAGCAGUAGGGAAUCUUCCGCAAUGGGCGCAAGCCUGACAGAGCCAUGCCGCGUGAGUGAUGAAGGUCUUCGGAUCGUAAAGUUCUGUUAUUAGGGAAGCGUUACCUAAACAGAAAGCCACGGCUAACUACGUGCCAGCAGCCGCGGUAAUAC
This 405-nucleotide ribosomal RNA is filed under the name uncultured bacterium. RNAcentral describes it as "partial 16S ribosomal RNA". It matches the Rfam family "Bacterial small subunit ribosomal RNA", at positions 28 to 526 of the family's 1533-position model. The record is from RNAcentral.